RNAcentral lists this ribosomal RNA (498 nucleotides) under uncultured bacterium. Its description in RNAcentral is "partial 16S ribosomal RNA". It matches the Rfam family "Bacterial small subunit ribosomal RNA", at positions 28 to 508 of the family's 1533-position model. The record is from RNAcentral.
GAUGAACGCUGGCGGCGUGCCUAAUACAUGCAAGUCGAGCGAACGGACGAGAAGCUUGCUUCUCUGAUGUUAGCGGCGGACGGGUGAGUAACACGUGGAUAACCUACCUAUAAGACUGGGAUAACUUCGGGAAACCGGAGCUAAUACCGGAUAAUAUUUUGAACCGCAUGGUUCAAAAGUAAAAGACGGUCUUGCUGUCACUUAUAGAUGGAUCCGCGCUGCAUUAGCUAGUUGGUAAGGUAACGGCUUACCAAGGCAACGAUGCAUAGCCGACCUGAGAGGGUGGUCGGCCACACUGGAACUGAGACACGGUCCAGACUCCUACGGGAGGCAGCAGUAGGGAAUCUUCCGCAAUGGGCGAAAGCCUGACGGAGCAACGCCGCGGGAGUGAUGAAGGUCUUCGGAUCGUAAAACUCUGUUAUUAGGGAAGAACAUAUGUGUAAGUAACUGUGCACAUCUUGACGGUACCUAAUCAGAAAGCCACGGCUAACUACGUGC